UUAGAGUUUGAUCCUGGCUCAGGAUGAACGCUAGCGGCAGGCUUAACACAUGCAAGUCGAGGGGCAGCGAGAUCAGCGCUUGCACUGAUUGUCGGCGACCGGCGCACGGGUGCGUAACGCGUAUGCAACCUACCCAUUACAGGGGGAUAACACUGAGAAAUCGGUACUAAUACCCCAUAACAUCCAGGGAGGCAUCUUCUUGGGUUGAAAACUCCGGUGGUAAUGGAUGGGCAUGCGUUGUAUUAGUUAGUUGGUGGGGUAACGGCUCACCAAGACAACGAUACAUAGGGGGACUGAGAGGUUAACCCCCCACAUUGGUACUGAGACACGGACCAAACUCCUACGGGAGGCAGCAGUGAGGAAUAUUGGUCAAUGGACGCAAGUCUGAACUAGCCAUGCCGCGUGCAGGAAGACGGCUCUAUGAGUUGUAAACUGCUUUUGUACGAGGGUAAACGCAGAUACGCGUAUCUGUCUGAAAGUAUCGUACGAAUAAGGAUCGGCUAACUCCGUGCCAGCAGCCGCGGUAAUACGGAGGAUUCAAGCGUUAUCCGGAUUUAUUGGGUUUAAAGGGUGCGUAGGCGGUCGGAUAAGUUAGAGGUGAAAUCCCGGGGCUCAACUUCGGAAUUGCCUCUGAUACUGUUCGGCUAGAGAGUAGUUGCGGUAGGCGGAAUGUAUGGUGUAGCGGUGAAAUGCUUAGAGAUCAUACAGAACACCGAUUGCGAAGGCAGCUUACCAAGCUACUUCUGACGUUGAGGCACGAAAGCGUGGGGAGCAAACAGGAUUAGAUACCCUGGUAGUCCACGCAGUAAACGAUGAUAACUCGUUGUCGGCGAUACAGUGUCGGUGACUAAGCGAAAGCGAUAAGUUAUCCACCUGGGGAGUACGUUCGCAAGAAUGAAACUCAAAGGAAUUGACGGGGGCCCGCACAAGCGGAGGAACAUGUGGUUUAAUUCGAUGAUACGCGAGGAACCUUACCCGGGCUUGAAAGUUAGUGACGGAUCUUGAAAGAGGUCUUCCCUUCGGGGCACGAAACUAGGUGCUGCAUGGUUGUCGUCAGCUCGUGCCGUGAGGUGUCGGGUUAAGUCCCAUAACGAGCGCAACCCCUACCGUUAGUUGCCAGCAGGUCAAGCUGGGCACUCUGACGGGACUGCCGGUGUAAGCCGAGAGGAAGGUGGGGAUGACGUCAAAUCAGCACGGCCCUUACGUCCGGGGCUACACACGUGUUACAAUGGCAGGUACAGAGGGCAGCUACCCAGCGAUGGGAUGCGAAUCUCGAAAGCCUGUCUCAGUUCGGACUGGAGGCUGAAACCCGCCUCCAUGAAGUUGGAUUCGCUAGUAAUCGCGCAUCAGCCAUGGCGCGGUGAAUACGUUCCCGGGCCUUGUACACACCGCCCGUCA
RNAcentral lists this ribosomal RNA (1398 nucleotides) under uncultured bacterium. Its description in RNAcentral is "16S ribosomal RNA". It matches the Rfam family "Bacterial small subunit ribosomal RNA". The record is from RNAcentral.